This is a long non-coding RNA of Nycticebus coucang (slow loris), 346 nucleotides long. RefSeq lists it as uncharacterized. The record is from RefSeq and is a predicted model, not a curated record. NCBI's taxonomy places the organism in Eukaryota, Metazoa, Chordata, Mammalia, Primates, Lorisidae. The transcript has 3 exons.
CUUCGUUCCUUCCAGAAUCUCCUAUCGUGCAGUUCUAACCACUGUCAACACUGCUGUCUUCUCUCCAGCAUGGAGUGCAUCUGGCUGUCCUGCAGCCAUGCACCCUGGCCUUCUGGUGCCAAGCACCCAGUUCUGACACCUCAGAUUAACCAAGGACCUUGGAGAGAGAGAGGGAAGGCUAGAGAGAAAGGUGGGGAAAGGAGAGAACUCUAAAGUCAACCUCAUAUUCUGGAGGCCAGCAGGUGCAAAAUGAAGGUACUGGCAGGUUCCAUGUCUGAUGAGAGCUUCCCCUGCUUCCAAGAAAACACCCUGUUGCUGCGUCCUCCUCUGGCAGAAGGGACCAAAG